UGUGAAUGAUGACGCCUCUUUUCCUGACUUCACUGAGGGUAUACACUGAUUUAAUGAGCCUGACGC
This is a small nucleolar RNA of Cyclopterus lumpus (lumpfish), 66 nucleotides long. Lineage: Eukaryota; Metazoa; Chordata; Actinopteri; Perciformes; Cyclopteridae. The record is from Ensembl.